CCGGGCGCGGUGGCGCGUGCCUGUAGUCCCAGCUACUCGGGAGGCUGAGGCUGGAGGAUCGCUUGAGUCCAGGAGUUCUGGGCUGUAGUGCGCUAUGCCGAUCGGGUGUCCGCACUAAGUUCGGCAUCAAUAUGGUGACCUCCCGGGAGCGGGGGACCACCAGGUUGCCUAAGGAGGGGUGAACCGGCCCAGGUCGGAAACGGAGCAGGUCAAAACUCCCGUGCUGAUCAGUAGUGGGAUCGCGCCUGUGAAUAGCCACUGCACUCCAGCCUGGGCAACAUAGCGAGACCCCGUCUCU
RNAcentral lists this signal recognition particle RNA (298 nucleotides) under Homo sapiens (human). RNAcentral describes it as "Metazoan signal recognition particle RNA". It matches the Rfam family "Metazoan signal recognition particle RNA". From Rfam's summary of the family: The signal recognition particle (SRP) is a universally conserved ribonucleoprotein. It is involved in the co-translational targeting of proteins to membranes. The eukaryotic SRP consists of a 300-nucleotide 7S RNA and six proteins: SRPs 72, 68, 54, 19, 14, and 9. Lineage: Eukaryota; Metazoa; Chordata; Mammalia; Primates; Hominidae. The record is from Rfam by way of RNAcentral.